CUGGGAACUAUGAUGACCGUAUAGUUCAGCUGAUGAGUCUAUGCUGAAUAACAAAUUUAGUCUUUCACCCCUAUCUGACAAUUCCCAC
Strongyloides papillosus is the source of this 88-nucleotide non-coding RNA. The record is from Rfam. NCBI's taxonomy places the organism in Eukaryota, Metazoa, Nematoda, Chromadorea, Rhabditida, Strongyloididae.